AGUUUUAUAGUCAAAAUUAUGACAUUAAAUUGCAAAUUUAAAGUUGAAAAAAUUAUUUUCUAAAGCUU
This 68-nucleotide transfer RNA is filed under the name Onitis falcatus. Its description in RNAcentral is "tRNA-Cys". The record is from RNAcentral. Lineage: Eukaryota; Metazoa; Arthropoda; Insecta; Coleoptera; Scarabaeidae.